CCUACGGGAGGCAGCAGUGGGGAAUUUUCCGCAAUGGGCGAAAGCCUGACGGAGCAACGCCGCGUGAGGGAUGAAGGCCUCUGGGCUGUAAACCUCUUUUAUCAAGGAAGAAGAUCUGACGGUACUUGAUGAAUAAGCCACGGCUAAUUCCGUGCCAGCAGCCGCGGUAAUACGGGAGUGGCAAGCGUUAUCCGGAAUUAUUGGGCGUAAAGCGUCCGCAGGCGGUCUUGUAAGUCUGUCGUUAAAGCGUGGAGCUCAACUCCAUUUCGGCGGUGGAAACUACAAGACUAGAGUGUGGUAGGGGCAGAGGGAAUUCCCGGUGUAGCGGUGAAAUGCGUAGAUAUCGGGAAGAACACCAGUGGCGAAGGCGCUCUGCUGGGCCAUAACUGACGCUCAUGGACGAAAGCUAGGGGAGCGAAAGGGAUUAGAUACCCCUGUAGUCCUAGCCGUAAACGAUGAACACUAGGUNUCGGGGGAAUGACCCCCUCGGUGUCGUAGCUAACGCGUUAAGUGUUCCGCCGUCGGGUAGGUACGCGACGCAGUAGUGAACGUACGAAAGAAAGUUAGACGGCGUGUAAGGAGUGCGACGGACGACGACGAAGGGAGGAGG
RNAcentral lists this ribosomal RNA (610 nucleotides) under uncultured bacterium. RNAcentral's name for it is "bacterial SSU rRNA". The stretch from base 1 to 520 matches the Rfam family "Bacterial small subunit ribosomal RNA", at positions 338 to 873 of the family's 1533-position model. The record is from RNAcentral.